RNAcentral lists this long non-coding RNA (2608 nucleotides) under Salmo salar (Atlantic salmon). Its description in RNAcentral is "lncRNA (ENSSSAG00000119426.1)". The record is from RNAcentral. Lineage: Eukaryota; Metazoa; Chordata; Actinopteri; Salmoniformes; Salmonidae.
CUUCGAAGUACGGUAAUGGAAUAUUUAGAUUUUUUUUGUCACGAAACGCUUUGUGCGCGUCACCCUUCUUUACCCUUUCGGAUAGUGUCUUGAACGCACGAACAAAACGCCGCUAUUUGGAUAUAACUAUGGAUUAUUUUGAACCAAACCAACAUUUGUUAUUGAAGUAGAAGUCCUGGGAGUGCAUUCUGACGAAGAACAGCAAAGUUUUCCCGGUUUUGUCCUUUCUGCCUGCCCUGACCCUGAGCCUGCCUGCCGUCUGGUACAUUUGCCCCACUACUCUGGAAUACCUACCUCUGCCUGACCCUGAGCCUGCCUGCCGUCCGGUAGCUUUGCCCCACUACUCUGGAUUACUGACCUCUGCCUGACCUGACCCUGAGCCUGACUGCCGUCCAGUACCUUUGUCUGCCCGUGUUCGUAUUAAUAAACCUUUGUUAUUUCGACAUUGUCUGCACCUGGGCAUUACCUUCAAACGUGAUAGAUUUGUAUUGGUAUGAUAUAAACAUGCUGAAUAAAUGGCUAUUAUGUUAUUUAGUAGGAAAUAACAUUCAUUUGAUGAGAAGAUUUCCUGUCCCUCUUUUGCAUGUACAUUUUGAAGGUGCUAUGCUCAUAAAACUAUAUUUCCUGUCCCUCUUAUGCAUGUCCAUGUUGAAGGUGUUAUGCUCAUGAAACUAGGACAGUUGGUUCAAAUAUCAUGAAAUACCAAUGGAUUCCGUCCGAAAUGUCAAAAUAUAGCUAUGGCACUCAAGUGUAUAGUGAAUGUAUGGUGUUGAAUUAAGUUGCUAAGGCCUUUUGACCUAUUCCUAAUUGAUAGACAAGGUGCAAUACUGGGUUAAUCCCAGCAGCCUAUAAACAUACAGAAGCUUUCUAGAUCUAUAUCAGGGGUCUCCAACCUUUUCUAGUUGAGAUCUUUAAAAAAAAUGAAACACGUUGCCAGCUAUUCAAUUUUUUCUAUCUUUCAAAAUAGGCACAUUCUCCUCUUCUCCUCUCCCCUGCAACUGUUCCCCCAUGUCCUUGGUGUGCAAGAGAAAGUAGUGCACUAUGUUUUCUGUCAAUAUAAUUGGUAAAAUAAUAGUUAAUAAACAACUCUAGGGCCUCUUGAGUGGUGCAGCGGUUCAAGGCACUGCAUCGCAGUGUUGUGGCAUCACUACAGCCUGGGGUUUAAUCCCAGCCGUGACCAGGACAACCAGCUGUGAUCGGGAGUCCCAUUGGGCAGUGCACAAUUGGCCCCGCAUCGUCCGGGUUAGGGGAGGGUUUGGCUGGGGGGGGGGGGCUUUAUUUGGCUCAUCGCGCUCUAGUGACUCCUUUGUGGCGGGCUGGGCGCCUGCAGGCUGACUCGGUUGUCAGUUGAACAGUGUUUCCUCCAACACAUUAGUACAGCUGGCUUCCGGUUUAAGCGAGCCGCUGUUAAGAAGCGCGGCUUGGCAGGUCAUGUUUCGGAGGAAGCAUGACUCGACCUUUACCUUUGCAGCGAUGAGAGAAGAUAAUAAUCACGAAAUUGGAGAGAAAAAGUGAAAUUUUAAAAUUCAGUUUUAUAUUUUCCCAAAUGAUGUUUCCUCAGUUUUAAUUUUCCUGGUUUUAGAUUUGUUUUGUUUUUUCUCCAAACAAUCAAAUUGUUCAUAGAGAAACAACGGAAUUGGAUGUUCUGAGUCCAUGUCAAUGGUUAAAUCACAUCAAAAGACAAAACAUUUUUGGGUCUGGAGAAAAAUGAACAAAUACAUUUUUUUGCGUAACUUCCCUUUAGUUGUGCAUCUAGCGAGUGAGGAAUGCCCUGUCUAAUGUUCCGGUCUAGCGAUGCUUCUGUGCUGCUGCUGCUCAUUUCAUCGCAAAGUUUGCAAAUAACAAAUAAUGAUAAACUUCUGCCAGAAUAAGUCUCUCUGAGUGAUCGGUGUAACUGAAAUGCCAGGAUUUUGACAGCUAUACGAAAUGAUCUCUCACAUACAAUAUGUGUCCAACCAGAAGCCAUGGAUUACAGGCAACAUCCGCACUGACCUAAAGGCUAGAGCUGUCACGUUCAAGGAAUGGGACACUAAUUGGACACUUAUAAGAAAUCUUGCUACGACUUCUGAAGAGCCAUCAAAGAGUCAAAACGAAGAAUAGCUGCUGCCUCUGCAAAACCUAACGGGGAUCUAAAUAAACAAAUAAACAAAUAAAACGUCAAUACAGAUCAAAUCCUACUACACUGGCUCUGACGCUUGUCAGAUGUGAGAGGGCUUUUGCAAACUAUCACGGAACACAAAGGAACACAAAGGAAAACCUAGCCGCGAGCUGCCCAGUGACGCUGAUGAGAUGUUUGAUAAUUAUGUGACUAGACUACCACGCAAAGGCACUAUGGAUGUAUUUUCCAUGGUUGACACAGAUAUGCUCAGGAAAGUGACACUAUCACAUCUUAAGCCUACUACCUGCCUUCUCGAUCCUAUCCCACCACCUUCUUCAAACCAGUUUUUAAUUGCAUAUCUGAAGAAGUGCAAGCUAUUGUUAAUCACUUCCUGUUCACUGGCUCUUUCCCCACUGUACUAAAAACUGCAAUGAUGAAACCCCUUCUGAAGAAAAGUAAUCUAGAUUCUUCAGCUCCUAGCAAUUUUUGGCCAAGUUCAAACCUUCCAAC